Molecule: ribosomal RNA, 489 nt
Filed under: uncultured beta proteobacterium
Lineage: Bacteria; Pseudomonadati; Pseudomonadota; Betaproteobacteria
Description: bacterial SSU rRNA
Rfam family: Bacterial small subunit ribosomal RNA
Source: RNAcentral
GCUUAACACAUGCAAGUCGAACGGCAGCACGGGAGCUUGCUCCUGGUGGCGAGUGGCGAACGGGUGAGUAAUGUAUCGGAACGUACCCAGUCGUGGGGGAUAACUCUCCGAAAGGAGAGCUAAUACCGCAUACGUCCUGAGGGAGAAAGCGGGGGACCUGCAAGGGCCUCGCGCGAUUGGAGCGGCCGAUAUCGGAUUAGCUAGUUGGUAGGGUAAAGGCCUACCAAGGCGACGAUCCGUAGCGGGUCUGAGAGGACGACCCGCCACACUGGAACUGAGACACGGUCCAGACUCCUACGGGAGGCAGCAGUGGGAAAUUUUGGACAAUGGGGGCAACCCUGAUCCAGCCAUUCCGCGUGAGUGAAGAAGGCCUUCGGGUUGUAAAGCUCUUUCAGCAGGAACGAAACGGUCGGCUUUAAUAAAGUUGGCUAAUGACGGUACCUGCAGAAGAAGCACCGGCUAACUACGUGCCAGCAGCCGCGGUAAUAC